Brassica napus (rape) is the source of this 89-nucleotide non-coding RNA. The record is from Rfam. Lineage: Eukaryota; Viridiplantae; Streptophyta; Magnoliopsida; Brassicales; Brassicaceae.
GGUAGUGCAAUAAGGAAUUGUCGCCCCAGUCUUAUUUGCAUUCAUUUCAGUGGAUGUAUUGUGUUGAUUGACUAGUUUUUGCCUGAUCC